RNAcentral lists this ribosomal RNA (497 nucleotides) under uncultured bacterium. RNAcentral describes it as "partial 16S ribosomal RNA". It matches the Rfam family "Bacterial small subunit ribosomal RNA", at positions 28 to 507 of the family's 1533-position model. The record is from RNAcentral.
GAUGAACGCUGGCGGCGUGCCUAAUACAUGCAAGUCGAGCGAACGGACGAGAAGCUUGCUUCUCUGAUGUUAGCGGCGGACGGGUGAGUAACACGUGGAUAACCUACCUAUAAGACUGGGAUAACUUCGGGAAACCGGAGCUAAUACCGGAUGAUAUUUUGAACCGCAUGGUUCAAAAGUGAAAGACGGUCUUGCUGUCACUUAUAGAUGGAUCCGCGCUGCAUUAGCUAGUUGGUAAGGUAACGGCUUACCAAGGCAAUGAUGCAUAGCCGACCUGAGAGGGUGAUCGGCCACACUGGAACUGAGACACGGUCCAGACUCCUACGGGAGGCAGCAGUAGGGAAUCUUCCGCAAUGGGCGAAAGCCUGACGGAGCAACGCCGCGUGAGUGAUGAAGGUCUUCGGAUCGUAAAACUCUGUUAUUAGGGAAGAACAUAUGUGUAAGUAACUGUGCACAUCUUGACGGUACCUAAUCAGAAAGCCACGGCUAACUACGUG